This 116-nucleotide ribosomal RNA is filed under the name Woeseia sp. Lineage: Bacteria; Pseudomonadati; Pseudomonadota; Gammaproteobacteria; Woeseiales; Woeseiaceae. The record is from RNAcentral.
CCUGGCGGCAAUAGCGAGUGGGAACCACCCGAUCCCAUCUCGAACUCGGAAGUGAAAACGCUCAGCGCCGAUGGUAGUGUGGGGUCUCCGCAUGUGAGAGUAGGACACCGCCAGGC